AUAUUAUAAUUUUUAUUUUCCAUCUGCAUGCUUUGGCUACGAAGACCAAGGCGUUAUGACUGCAGCAGCUAGCGAUGCC
This is a long non-coding RNA of Juglans microcarpa x Juglans regia, 79 nucleotides long. RefSeq lists it as uncharacterized. Lineage: Eukaryota; Viridiplantae; Streptophyta; Magnoliopsida; Fagales; Juglandaceae. The transcript has 3 exons. The record is from RefSeq and is a predicted model, not a curated record.